ACGAAGCCAUAAUAGCCAUGAAAAUCCUUUUUUUGAGGUUUUACAACCAAAAAAAGAUUGUAACGAAUAGCAGGAAAAAGC
Molecule: small RNA, 81 nt
Filed under: Flavobacterium sp. 11
Lineage: Bacteria; Pseudomonadati; Bacteroidota; Flavobacteriia; Flavobacteriales; Flavobacteriaceae
Description: Flavo-1 RNA
Rfam family: Flavo-1 RNA
Source: RNAcentral